AUGCAAGUCGAGCGAUGAGUUUCCUUCGGGAAACGGAUUAGCGGCGGACGGGUGAGUAACACGUGGGUAACCUGCCUCAUAGAGUGGAAUAGCCUUCCGAAAGGAAGAUUAAUACCGCAUAAUGUUGAAAGAUGGCAUCAUCAUUCAACCAAAGGAGCAAUCCGCUAUGAGAUGGACCCGCGGCGCAUUAGCUAGUUGGUGGGGUAACGGCCUACCAAGGCGACGAUGCGUAGCCGACCUGAGAGGGUGAUCGGCCACAUUGGGACUGAGACACGGCCCAGACUCCUACGGGAGGCAGCAGUGGGGAAUAUUGCACAAUGGGGGAAACCCUGAUGCAGCAACGCCGCGUGAGUGAUGAAGGUUUUCGGAUCGUAAAGCUCUGUCUUUGGGGAAGAUAAUGACGGUACCCAAGGAGGAAGCCACGGCUAACUACGUGCCAGCAGCCGCGGUAAUACGUAGGUGGCGAGCGUUAUCCGGAUUUACUGGGCGUAAAGGGAGCGUAGGCGGAUGAUUAAGUGGGAUGUGAAAUACCCGGGCUCAACU
Molecule: ribosomal RNA, 543 nt
Filed under: Clostridium sp. T70P310
Lineage: Bacteria; Bacillati; Bacillota; Clostridia; Eubacteriales; Clostridiaceae
Description: bacterial SSU rRNA
Rfam family: Bacterial small subunit ribosomal RNA
Source: RNAcentral